Molecule: microRNA precursor, 75 nt
Filed under: Myotis davidii
Lineage: Eukaryota; Metazoa; Chordata; Mammalia; Chiroptera; Vespertilionidae
Description: mir-9193 microRNA precursor family
Rfam family: mir-9193 microRNA precursor family
Source: Rfam by way of RNAcentral
AUUGGGAGGGAGGGUUCCCCUCAGCCCGGAUUGCAAGAGGGCGCAGGACAGGCCGAGGGAUCCCACCCGUGCAUG